GAUCCUGGCUCAGGAUGAACGCUGGCGGCGUGCUUAACACAUGCAAGUCGAACGGAGGCAAGCUGGGAGUAAUCCCGGUUUGUCUUAGUGGCGGACGGGUGAGUAACGUGUGGGCAACCUGCCCUUUACAGGGGAAUAAUCAUUGGAAACGAUGACUAAUACCGCAUGACAUCUCCGAGAGGCAUCUUUUGGAGAGAAAAGGAGCGAUCCGGUAAAGGAGGGGCCCGCAUCUGAUUAGCUAGUUGG
This 246-nucleotide ribosomal RNA is filed under the name uncultured bacterium. RNAcentral describes it as "partial 16S ribosomal RNA". It matches the Rfam family "Bacterial small subunit ribosomal RNA", at positions 15 to 252 of the family's 1533-position model. The record is from RNAcentral.